UUUGGUGAUUAUAUCAAGAAGGACACACCUGUUCCCAUACCGAACACAGAAGUUAAGCUUCUUAGAGCCGAUGAUAGUUCACGCGAAAGUAGGACGUCGCCAAGC
This 105-nucleotide ribosomal RNA is filed under the name Mycoplasmatota bacterium. Lineage: Bacteria; Bacillati; Mycoplasmatota. The record is from RNAcentral.